This 486-nucleotide ribosomal RNA is filed under the name uncultured bacterium. RNAcentral's name for it is "partial 16S ribosomal RNA". It matches the Rfam family "Bacterial small subunit ribosomal RNA", at positions 30 to 507 of the family's 1533-position model. The record is from RNAcentral.
AUUGAACGCUGGCGGCAUGCCUUACACAUGCAAGUCGAACGGCAGCACGGGUGCUUGCACCUGGUGGCGAGUGGCGAACGGGUGAGUAAUACAUCGGAACAUGUCCUGUAGUGGGGGAUAGCCCGGCGAAAGCCGGAUUAAUACAGCAUACGAUCUACGGAUGAAAGCGGGGGACCUUCGGGCCUCGCGCUAUAGGGUUGGCCGAUGGCUGAUUAGCUAGUUGGUGGGGUAAAGGCCUACCAAGGCGACGAUCAGUAGCUGGUCUGAGAGGACGACCAGCCACACUGGGACUGAGACACGGCCCAGACUCCUACGGGAGGCAGCAGUGGGGAAUUUUGGACAAUGGGCGAAAGCCUGAUCCAGCAAUGCCGCGUGUGUGAAGAAGGCCUUCGGGUUGUAAAGCACUUUUGUCCGGAAAGAAAUCCUUGGCCCUAAUACGGUCGGGGGAUGACGGUACCGGAAGAAUAAGCACCGGCUAACUACGUG